RNAcentral lists this ribosomal RNA (497 nucleotides) under uncultured bacterium. RNAcentral's name for it is "partial 16S ribosomal RNA". It matches the Rfam family "Bacterial small subunit ribosomal RNA", at positions 29 to 507 of the family's 1533-position model. The record is from RNAcentral.
ACGCACGCUGGCGGCGUGCCUCAUCCCUGCCAGUCGAACGAGAGCGACCGGUGCUUGCACUGGUCAAUCUAGUGGCGAACGGGUGAGUAACACGUGGGUAACCUGCCCAUCAGAGGGGGAUAACAUCCGGAAACGGAUGCUAAAACCGCAUAGGUCUUCGAGCCGCAUGGCUUGAAGAGGAAAAGAGGCGCAAGCUUCUGCUGAUGGAUGGACCCGCGGUGCAUUAGCUAGUUGGUGAGGUAACGGCUCACCAAGGCCGUGAUGCAUAGCCGACCUGAGAGGGGGAUCGGCCACAUUGGGACUGAGACACGGCCCAAACUCCUACGGGAGGCAGCAGUAGGGAAUCUUCCGCAAUGGACGCAAGUCUGACGGAGCAACGCCGCGUGAGUGAAGAAGGUUUUCGGAUCGUAAAACUCUGUUGUUAGAGAAGAACAAGUGCUAGAGUAACUGUUAGCGCCUUGACGGUAUCUAACCAGAAAGCCACGGCUAACUACGUG